This 646-nucleotide long non-coding RNA is filed under the name Chinchilla lanigera (long-tailed chinchilla). RNAcentral's name for it is "lncRNA (ENSCLAG00000025307.1)". Lineage: Eukaryota; Metazoa; Chordata; Mammalia; Rodentia; Chinchillidae. The record is from RNAcentral.
UUUGGUGAUGUGCAGCCAUUUAAUCUCUUCAAAGUCAGUGUAAUGCAUUCAUCUGGCAACUUCUCAAGACAAGUCUCUCCGUGUCACGCACAAUCUGUUCGGUGGCUCCUUCUCUGUCCUGCACAACCGCCUCUAUCUGCUCUGAACACCUAGAGAGAAAGUCUGGAAUACCAUAGUAAACACAAUUCUGAAACUUCAUGUUACAACUUGAAGUCUUAUAAAGAUUAUUCCUCUACAAGCCAGGCGGAAUAUACAUAAUUUGGGAAUUAAAGGUAUUUAAAGCUUGCUAUGGCAUCCUUGCCCCAGUAAUAUAAAGGUGAAAUAAGUUAUGCUUGUUUAAUUAUUUAGUACUUUUAAGUUUCAGCCACUUUUCUAUGCUAUUGCCAGAGUGAUCAGUCUUAAAUGCAACAAGCUUGGGGUUUUGUUUUGUUUUGUUUUGUUCUGUUUUGUUUUGUUUUGUUUUGUUUUGUUUUGUGUUGAGACGUGAUCUUGCUGGACUGCCCUAGCUGGCCUUGAACUCCUCGGCUCAAAGUGAUCCUGUUUGCUGUACCCUCUGCAGUACCUGGGACUAUAGGUAUGUACCACCACACCUGUCUUGUAUGUAUUAGCAAUUUCUUUGUCCUGUGUUACUGGGGAUUGAACUCAG